This 341-nucleotide long non-coding RNA is filed under the name Lathyrus oleraceus (garden pea). RNAcentral's name for it is "Pisum sativum (pea) long non-coding RNA (PSAT_LNC000211)". Lineage: Eukaryota; Viridiplantae; Streptophyta; Magnoliopsida; Fabales; Fabaceae. The record is from RNAcentral.
UGAAAAUCAAGGUUUGAAAAACAUGUCUUUGGCUUUAAGGGAAGUGGUGGAUGCUACAAACCAAAGAAUCAUAGACUUCAAUGGAUUGUGGAAGAAUGAAACAAGAUGUUAGGGUUUGGGAUGUAAAAUGGGCCCCCGUUGACUUUGGUUAACUAGUUGACCAAAAAGUCAACAGUUGACCAAAAGUCAACUUCGUAAAAAAUGUCAAAUUUUGUAAUUUCCUUUUAUGUGGGGACAUUUGGUGAUGUGUAAUGAAUGGAAUUUGGUUUAUAUGAAUGAAACUGACAAUGAAUGAAUCUUGUAUGAACUUAAAUGGAUUGAAUUUGGUAUUUGAGUUGACA